CGUGUAGCCCGGUGUGCGAGAUCACUUUAAUCAGAGCGGUGGGUGCGCCCCGGGCGUGGCGUGCAUGGAGCAAUGCCACGACUGAAUCCAGGAGGUCCCGAUGUUUACUCAGAUGCAGUCGCCGAGGCUCGUUAAUAGCUCGUUUGAUUAGGUACAAGCUUGCAACAGAAUCUGAUGCAAUAGUGAGCUUCUUAUUUGUAAAUUCUUCACCCUCGCCACCAAAUUCUGCGAGCGCAGCACGAAUUGCUGCCAGUUCAGCUCUCGUAAUAGUGUUUGUGCACCCAGCGCCAUUUGGAUUCACGUAGACAACGCGAGAAUCGCUGAACCAGGCGCAGGCGCCGGCAACCUGGACUUCUUUGCCAUUGUUAGUUUUGAUUUUGCUUACCGAACCAUCUGUCCAGACAGUGCCAUUCACGUCGUGGGCCAGAGCAUGGUGGGUCUGGAAUCGCGCGUUAGGAAAGCGUCGUGCUUCGUCAGCCAUGGCGUGUAUCGUCUUUGGGUUGGCGUGCUGGUAUUUGGCUUGCUUCAGAAGUGAGGUUGGGAGAGCCGGGCAGGUUGGGGCCGGAGCCGUGUGUGUCCACGUGCGGGGGUCGCUGAUGUGCGUGGGUGCGUUCGCCCCCCGUUUCAGUGUGUCCACGAGCCGUUUCAGGCGGGGGGCAAAGCACUGGAGUCCGGCGGGGUUCCCAACAAUGACCAGUCGGAGCCCCUUCUGGCGUUCAGCCUGGGUGUUGGUGCCAAGUCCUGUGUCAAGGCCCGCGGUGCCCGCGGACCAGUUGGCCAGCUCGUGGCAAAGUGGGUGUUGAAGCCACUGCGUGUGGGGGAAAGUGGCCGCUUUGGGAAGCGUCAAUACAGUAAGGGUUGGUUCCUGUGAGUCACGCAUGGCCUCGGCGCAUGCGAGGGCCCACAUGAGCGCCUUCCGUGCAUCGUGGGGGGUAGAGGGGGGGUGGGCAUAUUGCAAGCCGGUCCAUGCGGUCUGGUAGGCAUCGUGCAGUGCGCCAAAGGCCCCAUCAGCAGGGUCUCGUGUCCAGUAUUCGUGGGCUGGAGUGGAGGAGUUUAGUGGGGACGCAAACAUUUCCCGAAUGUGUACUGCUUGUGUGACCCGCAGGCAUUGGACGAUGGCAGCUACUGUGCCUGCCGGCAGCGACACCUGGUGCAUUGGCAUGGCCUUGCGGUCCUGCUGCGCCGGGUCAUAGCGGUAGCGCAUGAUGAGGGCAGCGACCGCUUCCUCGAAGGCGUUGGGCCGCUGGUUGCUGGUGUGCCUGAAGCGCUCCCACAGGGUAAGGAGGCGGGGGUAGGUGAUGGUGCCCAGCCAGCGGCCACUGGGUUCAUGGAUGUGCGCCUCAGCUGGGUCACGGCGGGUGCCACCAGUGGUGGUAAUUGUGUAUGCUCCGGGGGCCACGAUGUCCUUGUAGGGGUUGCACGGGCUUGUGGUGAUGGUGGUGGUCGUGCGGAUGUCACGCGCGCGGGAUGCGGUAUCGAGGGGCUCGGCGUCGUGGCGGCCUUGGCGCUGUCUGGCGGUAAGGUUCCGAUCAGGUGCGGGGCGCACUGUUCGGGGCCGCGGGACUUGGUUGGUACCGUUUGCUAGCGGGGUUUUGCACUCCUCCAGUAGCUCCUCCCAUUGUGGACUGUGUUUAAGGUCCCGUUCACGGUCCGUGCUCGGCGCCCACGUGACAUGUCGCAGGAGUUUGGUCGUCCAGGACGAGAAUAGGGGGGCCCCAGUGGGCUGCGGUGCUGCCGGCUCUGCAGCUUGGGCAGGCUCUUCAGGUGCGAUUGCGUGGGCUUGGGUUUCAGCCGGAGGCUCAGCCACGGUCUGUGCAGGAUUUGGGUCUGGGCGUGCCGCAAGUGGGUGCUUGUAGCACCUGGCGUUCUGGAUAGUUGCGUAGCCCAUGCGAACAAAAGCAGAGACAAUGCCGACAGGGCAAAUGGACGGCUUCCACUGCACCAUCCAGUAUUUCUCACGUGUCCCAGAGGUGUCCGCUCUGGCCUUGCGCUUCCGUGUCAGUUCUUUGUCCGUGACAGUUUGUAUAUUUUCGCUGUGCAGGACCUGUGCCAGUUCCUGUCCGUCAUUGUCCAGGUCGUAGGUGAGUUGAGUGUCACCGUUAGUGCGGUUGUCGGUGGGCCGUGGGACUAGAUCGUGUGUGAUCCUGGCGCGGGCCAGUCGCCAGCUGGGACGGGCCCCGUGACCUCCCGCAGCUUGCACUGCCGGGGCGGUCAGGGGCGGCGCUGCGCUGUCGACGUCCAUGGGGUCGUUGUGCGCGGCCGCCUGGUUGGUUUCCAUAGGCAAUCCUGUGUUGUUCAGGUACUCGCUUAUGGCGUUGGGUUCGGG
RNAcentral lists this long non-coding RNA (2326 nucleotides) under Chlamydomonas reinhardtii. RNAcentral's name for it is "long non-coding RNA (CREI_LNC000214)". Lineage: Eukaryota; Viridiplantae; Chlorophyta; Chlorophyceae; Chlamydomonadales; Chlamydomonadaceae. The record is from RNAcentral.